RNAcentral lists this non-coding RNA (1754 nucleotides) under synthetic construct. The record is from RNAcentral.
AGUAGCGCCUGCAGGCCAGGAGACAUUGGCUUUCCAACUAUCACAUAUCGCCCCAACAUGGCUGAUGCACCUAUAUACGUGGGAGGAUAUGUGGACAUAAAGAAAUAUCCAACCCUUGAAAAGGAACUGGUGCUAGAUCAUGACAGGCUCCUGCAGGCCGUGCCCUCCUUCAAACCUGUACCCAUCAACGUGGAGCACCUGGCAGAUGCUGAGGUGGGCUGGGUUCAGACUAUUUAUCCCGCCAGCCACGGCCUCUUUUGUAUGGGGGAGGUAACAAACAAACAGUUUCUGCACCUCGUGACUCAGAUGGCGGAAGAGUCUGCUGCCUCUCACAUCACACUUACCAAGCAGCUCCCUCGCGAGCCAACGCUGCAGAUGUUGCACACAUGGCUUCCAGAGCUCUCACUGUCCUCCAUCUCACCACACUUGAUGAACUCUACCCCAGACACUGAAAUAUUUCACCACGUGGCCUUGUGCGCCCUCGGCAAACGCCGGGGGGUGGUGGCAGUCUAUGGUCACUCUUUAGAUUGGGUAAUCUCCAAGUUUGAAUCCCUCAAACCAGGGGAAAUUUCUGCAAUCAAAGAAUGUGUUGAAAGUGUGUCCAAAAGGCAUGGUCCCAAUGGUCAGAGACCCCUGAAUUUCUCAAUCAGCAUGGACAGUCUUUUGGCCAAGGCCAUAGACGCCAGCUUCAUCAAAAACAGACUUGAUCUGCUCAAAUCAGACAGGCAAGUUGCUGCAGUGAAACAAUCAGCAUAUUUAAAGGCUAGUCACGUACCACAGGCAGACCCCGACCCCAUUUCCCAACCUACUCAGUCCGCCAUCAUGACAACUGUGACAGCUGGAAUGGAGGAAAAUAACUUGAUCAGUGUGCCCAAGGCUACUUUGAUCUCUCUCCUAACCAAGGCAGAGUCCUCCCAACGGCCCCAGGGCGGCCAGGCGUCAGUCCCUCAGAUCCUGCAGCCUUUCCAGACUCCCAGCUCCGCUAUCACCAAUCACGCAGCAUUCUCGACCCCAGGGGCUGGCCUGAGCUACCCACACGCGGGUCAGUGGCCUAUCAUGCCCCCUUGGAGCCCCUAUUGUCCACCAGCUUACCCUCUUCAGGCUUCAGAGGGUGCUCCUCAAAGUGGGCCAUAUUGGCCACCAAUGUACUCCUACGGCCAUCGAGAUGAAGCGAGGGCAGGAAAAAGGAAAAGGGAAUGUGAGGAGGAGGACCAAGUCUCAUUUCCAGGGGAAACCAGCAAGAGAGGCCUCUACAGUGAGCUCUUGUCCAUGGCUGGCAGCAUUGCCUCUCUGAAGAGCGAACUACAGAGUUUGAAACAGUCUCUGCCAGCUUGCGCCCCGCCAUCCACUCCAGCCUCAGCAUAUUAUCCCGAAGCCGGAAGCCUGCUACAAUAUCCGGGUCGUCAUAUCAACCCUCAACAGUGCUACAUGUCGCACCCUUCCCCUGCACCCCUUCCAGCUGCGAGUCCCGCCGGGGCGGCCGCCGCGCCUCCACCCACGGUGGUAGAAAGUGUCCCUCGACCACCAGAAACAGUUCCAACGGUCCCUGUAGCCCAAAGUGUGGAGCGGGAACCAGAUGCUCUGGUGACUACCAAAAAGACAGUUCCUGCCAAAAGAGUAGAUGCCAGCAAACUGGCCAACCACGAGAAGAGCAAAGUACAGCAGCUCUUUUGCGAAGAGCUCUCCAAAUAACACGAGGGGUAUUAUUGUAAAAGGGUUGCGUGUGUCAAUAAAAUGUUUGUGCUUGGUGCAAC